Homo sapiens (human) is the source of this 152-nucleotide long non-coding RNA. Ensembl annotates it as JUN divergent transcript. Its record names the gene JUN-DT. Lineage: Eukaryota; Metazoa; Chordata; Mammalia; Primates; Hominidae. The record is from Ensembl.
UGGUGUUACACUGAAAAACUAGAAGUUUCAAAACAGACAAGGGAAAAAGAGAAACAUCAGAAAGUCUGAUUAAAGUAGAAGCAUCAUAUUUCUAUCAACGUAUCCACUGUGCUUGGCAGGGGAUGGGCCCUUCUGCUGCAGCAUAAGAGGGG